Long non-coding RNA from Clupea harengus (Atlantic herring), 656 nucleotides. RefSeq lists it as uncharacterized. The transcript has 2 exons. The record is from RefSeq and is a predicted model, not a curated record. Lineage: Eukaryota; Metazoa; Chordata; Actinopteri; Clupeiformes; Clupeidae.
AUUAUAUUAAAUGUAUUUAUUUAUUCAAGUGCUUGUUGUAUUUUCUCAGCAUUGAUUUGCUGAGUUAAUUUGUAACUCACUGUGUUAAGUGAAAUACAAAAAAAGGAAAAAUCAUCAAAGGUUGAUACGAACAAAGAACAACGAUGUAGAAAUGCAUGCAUUUAAGUUUUUAUAUACAUUUACACAGUUCACUGAUUUUUUUUUGUUACAUUUCAUCUGUGUACCUAUAGCUACAAAAUACAAUGUUGUGCUAUACGCCUCACAAUAUAUAAUACAAAUAUAUUACAUCAUUUUGUAUAUCAAUACUGAUGAGUUUAUAUGUGUUCUUGUUGCUCAAAUUAAUAUAAUUGUAUUGACAGUUUGUUAGUGCAAAACAUAGUUAUAAAGCUAUUCUAUAUGUGACGGGUGGGAGUGGGAUAAGUGAGUCACCUGUUUCCUAGCGAGUCACUUGACACUCCCUUCAUGUGACCGGAAGAAACGCAGGUAAAUGGCACACCGCAAGUUCAUUCUUUUGUUUGAAUUAAGAGCGCGGCAAACGCAGUGGUGAGAGCACUGUUGGAAAGGGGAUUCUGCCGGUGGUGAUUUUACGUGAAGCGGUGCACCGUGCUUAAAAUACUUUUGUUCCGGUCUACAGUCUAUGCAACAGCACAGACGUA